Armigeres subalbatus is the source of this 1182-nucleotide long non-coding RNA. RefSeq lists it as uncharacterized. The record is from RefSeq and is a predicted model, not a curated record. NCBI's taxonomy places the organism in Eukaryota, Metazoa, Arthropoda, Insecta, Diptera, Culicidae. The transcript has 4 exons.
AUCACAUUACCUUACUGUAAUAUAAACAUAAAAAAAAUGGUAUUAUUACAUAGAAACAUGUGCAACCAAUUGAUUCAAAAUAGCACGUGUAUUAUUACACACAUUUUAUGCAAUAUUGCGUUGAAUGAUAAUGCAAUAUUAAAUCUGGCUGCACUUCUCAAUCUUUGCUGCAGCGGCUGCAGCAGUAUCCGACAGACUGUGGAGGUGCCAUUUUGAAACCCUCUGCAUUGAAUUCGGAAAAAUAUUUUCUUGCUUUGUUGCUGAUCGAGCCUUGCUCGCGCAUUAAUUGCGAUUAAAACCGAGAUUAAAACAUGGAAUGUGAGGUCCUGUGAAACCGCAUAAAAGGAUUGUGCAUUUUCAUGUGACGGACCGGCAUAGGAAAAAGAACUUGCUCAAGCUACAGUCGAAUCAACUGGUUCGCGGUAGGAUAUAAGGAAGGUUACCGGAGAAUCCCAGUCUGUUCCGAUAUGCCGUGGUUUUUUUAGUCGUGGAAUAGUCGUGAGGAGAGAGCGAUUAUCGGUGGAAGUGUCCGGCCUCGACGGUGCGUGCCCAUUGAUAGACCUUCACCCAUUCAUCGUUUAUGUGGCCAGGAAGCUACACCGUUUGUUCAGCAGUCCUGUCAACUGUCGGAAGUUCUUAGCGAUUCCAAGUGGCGAUAUGCGAUAUGUGAGUAAUGGCUACCAGAUUACUGCAACUGUUGCCGAUGGUAUGAUGCUUCGGGAAUGUUUUAUGUCUGGGAGAUAUCGAAGGUUCUGCAUCGAGAAGCAAUUAAUUACGCGGUUUCGAAGUUCCCCGAAUGCUGAAACCUUCCGGAACGCUCUGUUUAACAUCACUCCAGCGAAGGUAAUCCGGAAGCGAGCCCUGCAAGGAAAUUGCCCAAUAUCGACUCGCCAAAUCUGCGGAAAGUUCUGCCGUGAGCCAAGGAUGACUCAGCACCUGCCGUCGAUGACUAAAACGUGGAGAAACUUAUCAACACCAGCUUGUGGGACUCGGCUGAUUUAGAACUGAAGAAGUUGACCGGUUCAAGGUGUAUCGCAAUUGCAUGAGUCCCGCCUUCAUGACAGAUCAGCAUAGUGAGCAAAAAAUUGAUUAUAUUUAUUCUGCCGACAUGAUGUAUUAAAUAAACAAAUCAUCUAAAAAACUAGGCUAAAAACUUAUUGAAGCAAGAAAACAAGAAACAAC